Long non-coding RNA from Toxotes jaculatrix (banded archerfish), 678 nucleotides. RefSeq lists it as uncharacterized. The transcript is spliced from 6 exons. Lineage: Eukaryota; Metazoa; Chordata; Actinopteri; Toxotidae. The record is from RefSeq and is a predicted model, not a curated record.
UGCAGACAGGCAGGAAGGCUGGUGACUGGAGGGGGGGGACCACAUUAAUAAAGUAGAAAUCAUUUAUUUUUAAUUCUCCACUGAGAUCUAAUUACUGCCUAUUUUUAAGACUUGGGAGAAAAAAAAAAAGAUAGAAGUCGCCCAGCACUCAUGGAAUUGAACGAAUCAGUCAUAGCAUGGGCAGAGAAAAUACUAUGAGAGGCCUAACCAGUGUGAGAGAGUUUGCUGGUUGGGGUGGAGGGCCGGUGGAUGACUGUCACACCAGAGACCAGGCUUCACAUCCAGAGAUUCAUCUUUUUUUAACAUAAGCUGUAACUGCCACAGACUAAUUGUUGUAACGGCUGACAAAAGAAGAGACCCUCCUCCAAACUCCAAGUAUCCCUCUUGCCACAGCUCCAUGGACACUUCAACAUGAGGAGAAAUACAAAGCCUGACAGGCCUGCCAUGCCGAGUUAAGGUUGCUCAGGUGGCUGUCCACCGGGGAGGCGUCUACAGCGUGUCUGUGUUGAACCCCACCCCCCGUGUUGGCCUGCACUCCCAGACCAUCUGCCAGUCAGAGAACAAGCCCAAGCCACUAUGAUGCUGGCCCAUUGUUUGUCAUCGUCCAUUGAAUUCUCAGUAAAAACCGUCUUGGGACAGAAGCCAUGCCAAAGAAUCACAUUAACAUUUUCUUUCACC